Molecule: ribosomal RNA, 253 nt
Filed under: uncultured bacterium
Lineage: Bacteria
Description: partial 16S ribosomal RNA
Rfam family: Bacterial small subunit ribosomal RNA
Source: RNAcentral
UAUAGAGGUCCCAAGCGUUGUUCGGAUUCACUGGGCGUAAAGGGUGCGUAGGCGGUCGGGUAAGUCUGAUGUGAAAUCUCACAGCUUAACUGUGAAACUGCAUUGGAUACUAUCCGGCUCGAGGAAUGGAGGGGAGACUGGAAUACUUGGUGUAGCAGUGAAAUGCGUAGAUAUCAAGUGGAACACCAGUGGCGAAGGCGAGUCUCUGGACAUUUCCUGACGCUGAGGCACGAAAGCCAGGGGAGCAAACGGG